RNAcentral lists this non-coding RNA (752 nucleotides) under Tenebrionoidea sp. 24 KM-2017. The record is from RNAcentral. Lineage: Eukaryota; Metazoa; Arthropoda; Insecta; Coleoptera.
AUUAAAUAUAAUUUUUGUUUUAUAUUUAAUUAUUUUAUUUUUAUAUAUGUAAAAUUAAUUUUUAAAUAGGGGGAUUUAUAGCAGUAUAAAAUUUUAAAAAUUAAUAAUAUUAGAUUUAGAAAUUAAAUUGAGUAUGGACUAAAUUUGUGCCAGCAGUAGCGGUUAUACAAAUUAUGCGAAUUAUUUUUUUUUGAAUAAAGAAGUUAAUUAAAAAUGAAUUAAAUAUUAAAUUUAAAUUUAGGGGGUGAAAUUUUAAAUUUUGAAAAAUUUAAUUUAAAUUUAUGAAGCUUGGAAAAUUGGGUAAAACUAGGAUUAGAUACCCUAUUAUGAAAUUGUAAAUUAAAAUGUUUAAUUAUUAAUAGAUAAGAUCUUUAAAAUAAGAAAAUUUGGCGGUAUUUUAUUCUAUUCAGAGGAACCUGUUUUUUAAUUGAUAAUCCACAAUUUAAAAUACUUUUAAUUUAAAUUUAUAUAUCGUUGUUAUUGAAUAUUUUUUUAGAAUUUUAAUAUUCAAAUAAUUUGAUUAGGGGGUAAAUCAGAUCAAGAUAUAGUUAAUUUAAAAGGUAAAAUGGGUUACUAUAAAAUUAUUUUUGGUUAUUUAUUUAAAAAUUGUUAUAAAUAGGAUUUGAAAGUAAUAAUAAAUAAUUUUUUAUUAUGAAAAAGUUUUAAAAUAUGUACAUAUUGCCCGUCACUUUCAUAGAAUAUGAAAUAAGUCGUAACAAAGUAAAUUUACUGGAAAGUGAAUUUAGAGCAAG